This 492-nucleotide ribosomal RNA is filed under the name uncultured bacterium. Its description in RNAcentral is "partial 16S ribosomal RNA". It matches the Rfam family "Bacterial small subunit ribosomal RNA", at positions 29 to 507 of the family's 1533-position model. The record is from RNAcentral.
AGUGAACGCUGGCGGUAGGCCUAACAUAUGCAAGUCGAACGGCAGCACAGUAAGAGCUUGCUCUUACGGGUGGCGAGUGGCGGACGGGUGAGGAAUACAUCGGAAUCUACUUUUUCGUGGGGGAUAACGUAGGGAAACUUACGCUAAUACCGCAUACGACCUACGGGUGAAAGCAGGGGAUCUUCGGACCUUGCGCGAUUGAAUGAGCCGAUGUCGGAUUAGCUAGUUGGCGGGGUAAAGGCCCACCAAGGCGACGAUCCGUAGCUGGUCUGAGAGGAUGAUCCGCCACACUGGAACUGAGACACGGUCCAGACUCCUACGGGAGGCAGCAGUGGGGAAUAUUGGACAAUGGGCGCAAGCCUGAUCCAGCCAUACCGCGUGGGUGAAGAAGGCCUUCGGGUUGUAAAGCCCUUUUGUUGGGAAAGAAAAGCAGCAGGUUAAUACCCCGCUGUUCUGACGGUACCCAAAGAAUAAGCACCGGCUAACUUCGUG